RNAcentral lists this unclassified non-coding RNA (207 nucleotides) under Hevea brasiliensis (rubber tree). The record is from RNAcentral. Lineage: Eukaryota; Viridiplantae; Streptophyta; Magnoliopsida; Malpighiales; Euphorbiaceae.
GCCAGCUUUGAUGUCCUCCAAAUAAUGGGGAUGGCUGAGUUCCAUUAUUCACUAGCUCAUCCUCCAUAAAAUAUGAUAAAUUUUUAACAAUGUUGUCUGGAGGUUCCUCCUUCUGGAAUAACUAUUUUGUUGGGAUUAUUAGCUACAGGGAUUGGACAACGGUGUUGCUGUGCAACAAAUCCCCAUGUGUUUAAAACAUUAUAUACC